CACCGCGGUUAAACGAGAGACCCAAGUAGACGGCCCCCGGCGUAAAGAGUGGUUAAAAUGCAGAAGAAACUAAAGCCAAAUAGCCUCAUAACUGUUAUACGUCCAUGAGAACAAGAAGCCCAACCACGAAAGUGGCUUUACACAUUUGACCCCACGAAAGCUAAGACA
This 168-nucleotide ribosomal RNA is filed under the name Halichoeres scapularis (zigzag wrasse). RNAcentral describes it as "partial 12S rRNA". Lineage: Eukaryota; Metazoa; Chordata; Actinopteri; Labriformes; Labridae. RNAcentral also lists the same sequence under 1 other name. The record is from RNAcentral.